CCGGAGGCCCUUGAGUACAUCCGCCUCUGGCGCAAACUCCAAGGCGUGACCCUCACUACCACACCCGACAAGAUUUCCUGGCGCUGGACGUCAAACGGCAUUUACUCAGCCAAAUCCUGCUAUCACGCUCUCUUCCACGGAUCCACUACGCCGCCCUCUUGGAAGCUUCUUUGGAGCAGCUGGGCCCCCCUGAACACCAAGUUCUUCCUCUGGCUCGCCUCUCUGGACAGGUGUUGGACGGCUGAGCGCCGCGCUCGCCACGGCCUCACGCCAGACACCGCCUGCGUCCUAUGUCACCAGGAGACAGAGUCCAUCGACCACCUCCUUGCGGGAUGCGUCUUUGCCCGGAUAACCUGGCACGAGAUCCUGGCUUGGUGCCGGCUCACUACUCCUCCCAUGGACGGCGCGACGACCUUCUUCGCUUGGUGGGCGCUUGCGUCUGCCACCUCGCUGAGCGGACUCCGUAAAGGGCUCAACUCCAUCGUCGCUCUCACCGCUUGGGCCAUCUGGAAGCAUCGCAACGCCGCCAUCUUCGACGGCCUACAGCCCUCCACUGAUGAUCUGGUGGUCUCCAUCCAGGAUGACGCUCGCAUAUGGGCUAAGGCCGGCGCCAAGGGACUAGCCUCUAUUAUUCCUGUAACCUGA
RNAcentral lists this ribosomal RNA (645 nucleotides) under Triticum aestivum (bread wheat). Its description in RNAcentral is "partial small subunit ribosomal RNA". Lineage: Eukaryota; Viridiplantae; Streptophyta; Magnoliopsida; Poales; Poaceae. The record is from RNAcentral.